Molecule: ribosomal RNA, 497 nt
Filed under: uncultured bacterium
Lineage: Bacteria
Description: partial 16S ribosomal RNA
Rfam family: Bacterial small subunit ribosomal RNA
Source: RNAcentral
GACGAACGCUGGCGGCGUGCCUAAUACAUGCAAGUUGAGCGCUGAAGGCUGGUACUUGUACCAACUGGAUGAGCAGCGAACGGGUGAGUAACGCGUGGGGAAUCUGCCUUUGAGCGGGGGACAACAUUUGGAAACGAAUGCUAAUACCGCAUAAAAACUUUAAACACAAGUUUUAAGAUUGAAAGAUGCAAUUGCAUCACUCAAAGAUGAUCCCGCGUUGUAUUAGCUAGUUGGUGAGGUAAAGGCUCACCAAGGCGAUGAUACAUAGCCGACCUGAGAGGGUGAUCGGCCACCUUGGGACUGGGACACGGCCCAAAACCCUACGGGAGGCAGCGGUAGGGAAUCUUCGGCAAUGGACGAAAGUCUGACCGAGAAACGCCGCGUGAGUGAAGAAGGUUUUCGGCUCGUAAAACUCUGUUGGUAGAGAAGAACGUUGGUGAGAGUGGAAAGCUCAGCAAGUGACGGUAACUACCCAGAAAGGGACGGCUAACUACGUG